AUGAACGCUGGCGGCGUGCCUAAUACAUGCCAGUCGCGCGAACAGACGAGGAGCUUGCUCCUUCGACGUUAGCGGCGGACGGGUGAGUAACACGUAGGUAACCUACCUAUAAGACUGGGAUAACUUCGGGAAACCGGAGCUAAUACCGGAUAAUAUUUCGAACCGCAUGGUUCGAUAGUGAAAGAUGGCUUUGCUAUCACUUAUAGAUGGACCUGCGCCGUAUUAGCUAGUUGGUAAGGUAACGGCUUACCAAGGCAACGAUACGUAGCCGACCUGAGAGGGUGAUCGGCCACACUGGAACUGAGACACGGUCCAGACUCCUACGGGAGGCAGCAGUAGGGAAUCUUCCGCAAUGGGCGAAAGCCUGACGGAGCAACGCCGCGUGAGUGAUGAAGGUCUUCGGAUCGUAAAACUCUGUUAUUAGGGAAGAACAAACGUGUAAGUAACUGUGCACGUCUUGACGGUACCUAAUCAGAAAGCCACGGCUAACUACGUG
RNAcentral lists this ribosomal RNA (496 nucleotides) under uncultured bacterium. RNAcentral describes it as "partial 16S ribosomal RNA". It matches the Rfam family "Bacterial small subunit ribosomal RNA", at positions 29 to 507 of the family's 1533-position model. The record is from RNAcentral.